AUUUUUAUAGAUUCCCAAAUUAGAAUUCCCAAAAGUAUAUAUUGAUACUUUCAAUAGAUGACACAUCAUCAGAUCUAAGAAUCUAAAAAUUAUCUAUGCGAAUUUUACUGAUUAAACUACUAUAGUAGACAAACAAAAUUCGUUUAUCUAAUUCAUAAGUUUCUUUAUCGUUACAAUAGUUAGUUGUUAUGAAUUUUUAACAGGAUCUGCUGAAAGGUUAACCAAUUUGACGCUGGCUAAGGAUUGAAAAGCUUUAGAGGCACUAAAAGCGAGUGGAAUGAAAUUUAAACUGUAUUAUUUUGCUGCUAAAUUAAUGCUCUUUUACCAUCGUGUCAUUCAAAUAGGCAAACAGACCGACCACAUUCCAAAAUAUGCUAAAGAAUCAGGAGUCAAAACAAUUCGUAGUUUUGGAGAUAUUUUCAACGCAUCCGGAAGUAAAGUUAACAGUUCUGGUAACUUUACUUCCGGAUACGUUGAAAAUUAACUUAUUAUAGUACUUUUAUUUAGUACAUCAGUUUAUUCAUUAGAAGUUAUAGGUUAAAUUAUAUAAGUCAUAAAUUAUGAUGAUAAUUUAUAAUAUUUUGUAUGGUUUGAGACAUGUGUCAUAUCAUAUCAUCAUCCUGUAUGACGACACCAUAAUUGGAUAAUCAGUAGCCAAUCCAUGAAAGAUUAGAGGAGCUAUAGCUCCUUCCAAAAUACAUUAUCUAAAAAAAAAUAUUUAAGAUACAAAUUUUUUAAUAUAGAAAUUUCAAGACUGGAACUGUUAGAUCCAAUAAUUAAAAUAUAAAUGUAAAUAUAAAAUAUGUAAACAUAUUUUAUAAGUUUACAUUUUUAUGAUAUUCAUUAGUUCCCAAAAAUUUUUCUGGAUCCUCAAUUGAAUGGCGAAGAAAAUGGGAAUCGACUACGAGAAUUUAAUUAGUGAAUAUUUUGUUAACAGUUAAGAUUUGACAAUAUUUGAAAUUUUUAUAAUUCUUUUCAACCUCAAAAAAAAAAAGGAUUUAGUUUUCUUUCUUCUUUUUACUAAUUGCCAAUUUUACAAGAAAUUACAUCACUAGACCUUGGAGAUAUACUGUACUGUAUAUCGAAAACGUAACGAAUUUUUUACCAUUUUUGUCCUUUGAUCAAUCUGAACUAGUAAAGGAAAAACUACUAACUGUAAAGAAGAAUAACUAUUUUCGGAUGGAUCUACUUUAGCAUAUUAAAUAUAAGCUAGUCUUAGAAUCAACGUUGCAUUAGAGAAUAUUAUAUACAGAGAUAUGAUCUGAGUUUUCUGAAUGAAUAAUGCACAUCCUCAAC
This 1296-nucleotide long non-coding RNA is filed under the name Androctonus crassicauda. Lineage: Eukaryota; Metazoa; Arthropoda; Arachnida; Scorpiones; Buthidae. The record is from RNAcentral.